CAUUGUCUGGCUCAAUAAUUUCUUUAUAAUUCAUCCUUUCGACAUAAUCUUGCUUUUCAAUAUCAUUUUGUACAACAUAUAUUGCCUCCUUAAGGCCAUGGAACGAUAUCCUUCUAUCUUUGAAAAANNNNNNNNNNAAAAAAAUCCACAAGAGGACAGAGAGGAGGGCUUUUGUUGGAUUUAUUAAAAUCUCAUUGGAACUAACCCAAACCCAAUAUGCAGACACUUGACUCCCCAAUAACCCCAGUCAGAUUACAAGCAAAUACAAGAGCUUGCAAUUCAUCUCAAUUGUGCAGUAACACGUAAUACUAGCAAAACAG
This 320-nucleotide unclassified non-coding RNA is filed under the name Hevea brasiliensis (rubber tree). The record is from RNAcentral. Lineage: Eukaryota; Viridiplantae; Streptophyta; Magnoliopsida; Malpighiales; Euphorbiaceae.